AGUAGUUUGAUCCUGGCUCAAGAACGACGCUGGCGGCAGGCUUAACACAUGCAAGUCGAACGGUUGUAGCAAUACAGCAGUGGCAGACGGGUGAGUAACACGUGGGAACCUUCCUAGGGGUACGGAACAACUCAGGGAAACUUGAGCUAAUACCGUAUACGUCCGUGAGGAGAAAGAUUUAUCGCCCUUAGACGGGCCCGCGUCGGAUUAGCUAGUUGGUGGGGUAACGGCCUACCAAGGCGACGAUCCGUAGCUGAUCUUAGAGGAUGAUCAGCCACACUGGGACUGAGACACGGCCCAGACUCCUACGGGAGGCAGCAGUGGGGAAUCUUGGACAAUGGGCGCAAGCCUGAUCCAGCCAUGCCGCGUGAGUGAAGAAGGUCUUCGGAUUGUAAAGCUCUUUUGCCAGGGACGAUAAUGACGGUACCUGGAGAAUAAGCCCCGGCAAACUUCGUG
Molecule: ribosomal RNA, 456 nt
Filed under: uncultured bacterium
Lineage: Bacteria
Description: bacterial SSU rRNA
Rfam family: Bacterial small subunit ribosomal RNA
Source: RNAcentral